CAGCAGCCGCGGUAAUACGGAGGGUGCAAGCGUUAAUCGGAAUUACUGGGCGUAAAGCGCACGCAGGCGGUCUGACAAGUCAGAUGUGAAAUCCCCGGGCUUAACCUGGGAACUGCAUUUGAAACUGUCAGGCUGGAGUCUUGUAGAGGGGGGUGGAAUUCCAGGUGUAGCGGUGAAAUGCGUAGAGAUCUGGAGGAAUACCGGUGGCGAAGGCGGCCCCCUGGACAAAGACUGACGCUCAGGUGCGAAAGCGUGGGGAGCAAACAGGAUUAGAACCCCGGUAGUCCCUGUCUCUUAUACA
Molecule: ribosomal RNA, 301 nt
Filed under: uncultured bacterium
Lineage: Bacteria
Description: partial 16S ribosomal RNA
Rfam family: Bacterial small subunit ribosomal RNA
Source: RNAcentral